CCUACGGGUGGCAGCAGUGGGGGAUCUUGCACAAUGUGGGGAACCCUGAUGCAGCGACGCCGCGUGGGUGAAGAAGCGCCUCGGCGCGUAAAGCCCUGUCAGCAGGGAAGAAAAUGACGGUACCUGAAGACGAAGCCCCGGCUAACUACGUGCCAGCAGCCGCGGUAAUACGUAGGGGGCAAGCGUUAUCCGGAUUUGCUGGGUGUUAAGGGGGCGCAGGCGGCGAUGCAGGCCAGGAGUGAAAGCCCGGGGCUCAACCCAGGGACUGUCCUUGGAACUGCGUGGCUGGAGUACAGGAGGGGCAGGCGGAAUUCCUGGUGUAGCGGUGAAAUGCGUAGAUAUCAGGAGGAACACCGAUGGCGAAGGCGGCCUGCUAGACUGCAACUGACGUUGAGGCCCGAAAGCGUGGGGAGCAAACAGGAUUAGAUACCCCAGUAGUC
This 440-nucleotide ribosomal RNA is filed under the name uncultured bacterium. RNAcentral's name for it is "partial 16S ribosomal RNA". It matches the Rfam family "Bacterial small subunit ribosomal RNA", at positions 338 to 795 of the family's 1533-position model. The record is from RNAcentral.